UUUGUUAUUGUAACGAAAAUUAAUUAAAUAGUAUGAAGAUUUAUAUAAGAUUAGAUUCGCGAAUGUGCUUGAGAAACUCCGCUAAGAACUGUCACUCUUGAUUAGGAGACAUUAGUCGCAUACGGACCGCAUACAAUGUCCGUGGGUUUGAGCACAAGAGUGAAUGUGACGAAAUAACAGAGCAGAAUUCCUGAAAGAAGCACGUAAGACAGUUCUCGUCCGGACGCACGUACGACGGGUGUGUCGUUGUGUCUCAAAAAAACUCCGCAAACAAAUGACGUAACCUGCAACACGCGAAUCACAAAUGCUAAAUCGGAUUAAAAUAACUUGUACAACGCGCCACCCACGCAGGUAUAAUACGA
Pseudomyrmex gracilis is the source of this 362-nucleotide long non-coding RNA. RefSeq lists it as uncharacterized. The transcript has 3 exons. The record is from RefSeq and is a predicted model, not a curated record. NCBI's taxonomy places the organism in Eukaryota, Metazoa, Arthropoda, Insecta, Hymenoptera, Formicidae.